GGCCUGCAAAAUCCAAUCACCACCUCCUCGCGGUGUCGGCUGGAAACAAGAUCCUCUGGAACUUGGCUAACGGUGAUGG
RNAcentral lists this ribozyme (79 nucleotides) under Oreochromis niloticus (Nile tilapia). RNAcentral describes it as "drz-agam-1 ribozyme". It matches the Rfam family "drz-agam-1 ribozyme". Lineage: Eukaryota; Metazoa; Chordata; Actinopteri; Cichliformes; Cichlidae. The record is from Rfam by way of RNAcentral.